Molecule: ribosomal RNA, 253 nt
Filed under: uncultured bacterium
Lineage: Bacteria
Description: partial 16S ribosomal RNA
Rfam family: Bacterial small subunit ribosomal RNA
Source: RNAcentral
UACGUAGGGGGCAAGCGUUGUCCGGAAUCAUUGGGCGUAAAGCGCGUGUAGGCGGCUUGGUAAGUCCGCUCUGAAAGCCCGGGGCUCAACCCCGGGAGGCGGGUGGAUACUGUCAAGCUCGAGUCCGGAAGAGGCGAGUGGAAUUCCUGGUGUAGCGGUGAAAUGCGCAGAUAUCAGGAGGAACACCAAUGGCGAAGGCAGCUCGCUGGGACGUGACUGACGCUGAGACGCGAAGGCGUGGGGAGCGAACGGG